RNAcentral lists this ribosomal RNA (253 nucleotides) under uncultured bacterium. RNAcentral describes it as "partial 16S ribosomal RNA". It matches the Rfam family "Bacterial small subunit ribosomal RNA", at positions 524 to 776 of the family's 1533-position model. The record is from RNAcentral.
UACGAAGGGUGCAAGCGUUACUCGGAAUUACUGGGCGUAAAGCGUGCGUAGGCGGUUUGUUAAGUCCGUUGUGAAAGCCCUGGGCUCAACCUGGGAAUUGCAGUGGAUACUGGAGAGCUUGAGUCCGGGAGAGGUGAGUGGAACUGCGAGUGUAGAGGUGAAAUUCGUAGAUAUUCGCAAGAACACCAGUGGCGAAGACGGCUCUCUAGACCGCAACUGACGCUGAGACACGAAAGCGUGGGUAGCAAACAGG